CCUACGGGAGGCAGCAGUGGGGAAUAUUGGACAAUGGGCGAAAGCCUGAUCCAGCCAUGCCGCGUGUGUGAAGAAGGCCUUCGGGUUGUAAAGCACUUUCAGUGGGGAAGAAAGCCUUGGGGCUAAUACCCUCGAGGAAGGACAUCACCCACAGAAGAAGCACCGGCUAACUCCGUGCCAGCAGCCGCGGUAAUACGGAGGGUGCGAGCGUUAAUCGGAAUUACUGGGCGUAAAGCGCGCGUAGGCGGUCUGAUAAGCCGGUUGUGAAAGCCCCGGGCUCAACCUGGGAACGGCAUCCGGAACUGUCAGGCUAGAGUGCAGGAGAGGAAGGUAGAAUUCCCGGUGUAGCGAUGAAAUGCGUAGAGAUCGGGAGGAAUACCAGUGGCGAAGGCGGCCUUCUGGACUGACACUGACGCUGAGGUGCGAAAGCGUGGGUAGCAAACAGGAUUUAGAUACCCCUGUAGUC
RNAcentral lists this ribosomal RNA (466 nucleotides) under Vreelandella stevensii. RNAcentral's name for it is "partial 16S ribosomal RNA". It matches the Rfam family "Bacterial small subunit ribosomal RNA", at positions 338 to 795 of the family's 1533-position model. Lineage: Bacteria; Pseudomonadati; Pseudomonadota; Gammaproteobacteria; Oceanospirillales; Halomonadaceae. The record is from RNAcentral.